Molecule: ribosomal RNA, 493 nt
Filed under: uncultured bacterium
Lineage: Bacteria
Description: partial 16S ribosomal RNA
Rfam family: Bacterial small subunit ribosomal RNA
Source: RNAcentral
AUUGAACGCUGGCGGCAUGCUUUACACAUGCAAGUCGAACGGUAACAGGUUAAGCUGACGAGUGGCGAACGGGUGAGUAAUGCAUCGGAACGUGCCCGGUCGUGGGGGAUAACGCAGCGAAAGCUGCGCUAAUACCGCAUACGAUCUGAGGAUGAAAGCGGGGGACCGUAAGGCCUCGCGCGAUCGGAGCGGCCGAUGUCAGAUUAGGUAGUUGGUGGGGUAAAGACUCACCAAGCCAACGAUCUGUAGCUGGUCUGAGAGGACGACCAGCCACACUGGGACUGAGACACGGCCCAGACUCCUACGGGAGGCAGCAGUGGGGAAUUUUGGACAAUGGGCGAAAGCCUGAUCCAGCAAUGCCGCGUGCAGGAAGAAGGCCUUCGGGUUGUAAACUGCUUUUGUACGGAGCGAAAAGGUCUCCUCUAAUACAGGGGGCUCAUGACGGUACCGUAAGAACAAGCACCGGCUAACUACGUGCCAGCAGCCGCGGUAA